CCUCCUUCGGGAGGGGAUUAGUGGCGAACGGGUGAGUAACACGUGGGCAAUCUGCCCUGCACUCUGGGACAAGCCCUGGAAACGGGGUCUAAUACCGGAUACGAGUUUCACCGGCAUCGGUGAUUCUGGAAAGCUCCGGCGGUGCAGGAUGAGCCCGCGGCCUAUCAGCUUGUUGGUGAGGUAACGGCUCACCAAGGCGACGACGGGUAGCCGGCCUGAGAGGGCGACCGGCCACACUGGGACUGAGACACGGCCCAGACUCCUACGGGAGGCAGCAGUGGGGAAUAUUGCACAAUGGGCGAAAGCCUGAUGCAGCGACGCCGCGUGAGGGAUGACGGCCUUCGGGUUGUAAACCUCUUUCAGCAGGGAAGAAGCGAAAGUGACGGUACCUGCAGAAGAAGCGCCGGCUAACUACGUGCCAGCAGCCGCGGUAAUACGUAGGGCGCAAGCGUUGUCCGGAAUUAUUGGGCGUAAAGAGCUCGUAGGCGGCUUGUCACGUCGGUUGUGAAAGCCCGGGGCUUAACCCCGGGUCUGCAGUCGAUACGGGCAGGCUAGAGUUCGGUAGGGGAGAUCGGAAUUCCUGGUGUAGCGGUGAAAUGCGCAGAUAUCAGGAGGAACACCGGUGGCGAAGGCGGAUCUCUGGGCCGAUACUGACGCUGAGGAGCGAAAGCGUGGGGAGCGAACAGGAUUAGAUACCCUGGUAGUCCACGCCGUAAACGGUGGGCACUAGGUGUGGGCAACAUUCCACGUUGUCCGUGCCGCAGCUAACGCAUUAAGUGCCCCGCCUGGGGAGUACGGCC
Molecule: ribosomal RNA, 800 nt
Filed under: Streptomyces roietensis
Lineage: Bacteria; Bacillati; Actinomycetota; Actinomycetes; Kitasatosporales; Streptomycetaceae
Description: bacterial SSU rRNA
Rfam family: Bacterial small subunit ribosomal RNA
Source: RNAcentral